AACGCGAAGAACCUUACCUGGGUUUGACAUCUACUGGAAGGGUCGCAGAAAUGCGCCCGCCUUCGGGCCGGUAGACAGGUGCUGCAUGGCUGUCGUCAGCUCGUGUCGUGAGAUGUUGGGUUAAGUCCCGCAACGAGCGCAACCCUUAUGUUUAGUUGCCAGCAUUCAGUUGGGCACUCUAAACAGACUGCCGACGUUAAGUCGGAGGAAGGUGGGGAUGACGUCAAGUCCUCAUGGCCUUUAUAUCCAGGGCUACACACGUGCUACAAUGGUCGGUACAGAGGGCAGCCAAAUAGUAAUAUGGAGCUAAUCCCACAAAGCCGAUCUAAGUUCAGAUUGAGGUCUGCAAUUCGACCUCAUGAAGGUGGAAUCGCUAGUAAUCGCGGAUCAGAACGCCGCGGUGAAUACGUUCCCGGGCCUUGUACACACCGAGACGUA
RNAcentral lists this ribosomal RNA (438 nucleotides) under uncultured bacterium. RNAcentral describes it as "bacterial SSU rRNA". It matches the Rfam family "Bacterial small subunit ribosomal RNA", at positions 958 to 1398 of the family's 1533-position model. The record is from RNAcentral.